RNAcentral lists this ribosomal RNA (505 nucleotides) under uncultured bacterium. RNAcentral's name for it is "partial 16S ribosomal RNA". It matches the Rfam family "Bacterial small subunit ribosomal RNA", at positions 28 to 507 of the family's 1533-position model. The record is from RNAcentral.
GACGAACGCUGGCGGCGUGCCUAAUACAUGCAAGUAGAACGCACAGUUUAUACCGUAGCUUGCUACACCAUAGACUGUGAGUUGCGAACGGGUGAGUAACGCGUAGGUAACCUGCCUGGUAGCGGGGGAUAACUAUUGGAAACGAUAGCUAAUACCGCAUAAUAUUAAUUAUUGCAUGAUAAUUAAUUGAAAGGUGCAAUUGCACCACUACCAGAUGGACCUGCGUUGUAUUAGCUAGUAGGUGGGGUAACGGCUCACCUAGGAGAGGAUACAUAGCCGACCUUAGAGGGAGGACCGCCACACUGGGAAUGAGACACGGCCCAGACUCCUUCGGGGGGCAGCAGGAGGGAAUCUUCGGCAAUGGGCGGAAGGCUUGCCGAAGCACGCCGCGGGAGUGAAGAAAGUUUUCGGAUCGUAAAGGUCUGUUGUAAGGGAAGAACGGGUGUGAGAGUGGAAAGUUCACACUGUGACGGUAUCUUACCAGAAAGCGACGGCUAACUACGUG